GGGGAAUUAGCUCAAGUGGUAGAGCGCUCGCUUAGCAUGUGAGAGGCAGUGGGAUUGAUGCCCCCAUUCUCCA
Pelodiscus sinensis (Chinese soft-shelled turtle) is the source of this 73-nucleotide transfer RNA. It matches the Rfam family "tRNA". Rfam says of the family: Transfer RNA (tRNA) molecules are approximately 80 nucleotides in length. The record is from Rfam. Lineage: Eukaryota; Metazoa; Chordata; Testudines; Trionychidae.